RNAcentral lists this long non-coding RNA (1017 nucleotides) under Heterocephalus glaber (naked mole-rat). RNAcentral describes it as "lncRNA (ENSHGLG00000040477.1)". The record is from RNAcentral. Lineage: Eukaryota; Metazoa; Chordata; Mammalia; Rodentia; Bathyergidae.
AAAGUUUGGUAAGUGCAGAUACACAUAAGGGAAGGAAAGUGUGCCCAAGAGAAUGGCCUGGGAUCACUGUUGCCAUUCCAGGACUCCUUGCAGUCCUCAGCAGCCCUGCAGUAAUAUUUCCACACAAUUGAGUGAGUGGCCUUCCUCUGAGAUAACAAGCAGGCUUCCUAUGAGCCAAAAAUUUUCUAUUCAGCGUGCUGUGACUUGAAUAUGGAAAUCAUCUUAAUUUCUUCUUUUCUCUUAUGAAGAUAUUUCCAUGCAUGGUUUGUCAAGACAAGAGUUCAUUCUUUGGUAUUGACACACUACUGAAUUAAAACAUGUUGGAGCAAGUUGAAAAAUCAAAAUUAAGCCGGUUCCUCUUAAACAGUUUAAAGCCUUCCUUAGUUCAAAAUAAAUUAAGCACUGUAAAAUGAAGUUAAUUCAGGUAAUUAGUACAUAAGUCUAACCAUAUUAUAUCCCUGGUAUUCCAGUUUCAGGGUAUAAUUAAAUUCUCAGAAAUCUGCAGAACUCCCUAAUUUGGUUUCUAUAUUUAUUUAACAAGACAGGAAACAAAUAUAUGUCAGUAUACCCCAUAAGGGAAGGAACCUGAAUGAAGGAGUUUAUCUUUAGUUACCUAGAAAUAGUACUGAGCUUGAAUUUGAUCAUAUUUAUAUGUUUCAUUUUGCAUCAUAAUUAUUACCAUAGACCAUAUUACUUUAUAAUUACCAUUAUAGGCCAUAUCAAAAAUUUUGAUUCCUAAUUUACUUAAGCAAAAAUAAUAAAAUCAUGCAUUUGACCCAGAAGUAUCAGAUCACAUACUUAGGAGUAUGAAUUUGACAGACACCCUCCCCGCCAAUAACUUUCUUAAGUUGAGUUAGAAAGUCAGAUACUGCCAUGAGCACCAGAAGAGUUCUUUUUUUCCUAUGAACUUUAUUUUCUCAUUUGUUUUAUUUAAAAUUUUUUAAAUAGUUGUGUAUGUCAAAGUGAUGAAAUUAUAUAGUGAAAAUGUACCUUUUCUAUGAAUAAAGUAUUUUAAAA